This 109-nucleotide non-coding RNA is filed under the name Ixodes scapularis (black-legged tick). Its description in RNAcentral is "Eukaryotic large subunit ribosomal RNA". It matches the Rfam family "Eukaryotic large subunit ribosomal RNA", at positions 2202 to 2331 of the family's 3401-position model. Lineage: Eukaryota; Metazoa; Arthropoda; Arachnida; Ixodida; Ixodidae. The record is from Rfam by way of RNAcentral.
CCAAUGCUCUGAAUGUCAACGUGAAGAGAUUUAUCCAAUGCGCGGGUAAACGGCGGGAGUAACUACGACUCUCUUGUGAGCGGGCUCUGCGAACGCUUGGAUCACAGAG